AAAGAGCAAAGCAGUCAUAGAUGCGAAUGUUAGAGAAAAAGAGAAUUUUGAUGACCUGAAGGGUGAAAUCAACAAGCAAAUUGUACAGGCUCAGGCUGACAUAGAAGAUCUCAAGAGGCAACUCGAAGAAAGCAAGGUUGAAAGGAAGCACAAAGAAGAGGGUGAGGCUAUCAGGAAGUUAAUUGCUAUGCAGCCUCCAAGAUCAGAAACUCAGAAGGUUAUAACAGAGCUUGAGAAAGAGAUAGCUAUGUUGGAAGCAGAGAAUACUGCUAGUUCGAGGACAUUGGACCUUCGUAAAAAGCAGUUUGCCCUUUUAUUGCAUGUGGUUGAUGAGUUGCAGAACACAAUAGAGGAAGAGCAAAGGGGUUUGGUCGAAGAGAUGAAGAAUGUUGUCGAUGAUCAUAACAAGAGCGGAGUGGAGGAUGCUACCAUGGGUCCUGAAGCAAUGGCUGUUGAUUAGCAAGUGACUCCUUAUUGCAGAAUUCUGUUUAACUGUACCAAUAGACAAGUAUGCUAUUUUAAAGUGAGACAAAGAUUGGGGGUCUUGCUGUAUAUAUGAUGUUUCUGCAAGCUGUAAGAAAGCUUUGAAUGCGUGAUGAGUCGAGGAAACAAUAUGUAUAGUCCCAUUAAUUUUCAAGUCAUAUUAUCGUAUUUACGAGCCAACUUUUAGGAACUGGUCUACUUUCUUGAUUUUUCGUGUGUAUUAGUCAAUGAAUCUGGCGUUU
Molecule: unclassified non-coding RNA, 725 nt
Filed under: Hevea brasiliensis (rubber tree)
Lineage: Eukaryota; Viridiplantae; Streptophyta; Magnoliopsida; Malpighiales; Euphorbiaceae
Source: RNAcentral